CCCCUCAUAGCAUAGUGGUAAUGCAGUCGGCUGUAGACCGGCGUAUCCAAGUUCGAUUCUUGGUGGGGGGA
Non-coding RNA from Candidatus Pacearchaeota archaeon RBG_13_33_26, 71 nucleotides. The record is from Rfam. NCBI's taxonomy places the organism in Archaea, Nanobdellati.